Long non-coding RNA from Etheostoma spectabile (orangethroat darter), 144 nucleotides. RefSeq lists it as uncharacterized. The transcript is spliced from 3 exons. The record is from RefSeq and is a predicted model, not a curated record. NCBI's taxonomy places the organism in Eukaryota, Metazoa, Chordata, Actinopteri, Perciformes, Percidae.
UCCAAAUGUCUCCGUUUGUGUCCGUCCAGACUACAAAGCAACCCGGAGAUUUCAAACCAAAACGGGAGUAGCAGUGUUUCCAAAUGUCUCCGUUUUAGGGGCUCAGACACGCCGCAGCAGUGUGGACGCGAGGCGUAAAUGCAG